GAUGAACGCUGGCGGCGUGCCUAAUACAUGCAAGUCGAGCGAACAGAAGAGGAGCUUGCUCCUCUGACGUUAGCGGCGGACGGGUGAGUAACACGUGGAUAACCUACCUAUAAGACUGGGAUAACUUCGGGAAACCGGAGCUAAUACCGGAUAAUAUAUUGAACCGCAUGGUUCAAUAGUGAAAGACGGUUUUGCUGUCACUUAUAGAUGGAUCCGCGCCGCAUUAGCUAGUUGGUAAGGUAACGGCUUACCAAGGCAACGAUGCGUAGCCGACCUGAGAGGGUGAUCGGCCACACUGGAACUGAGACACGGUCCAGACUCCUACGGGAGGCAGCAGUAGGGAAUCUUCCGCAAUGGGCGAAAGCCUGACGGAGCAACGCCGCGUGAGUGAUGAAGGUCUUCGGAUCGUAAAACUCUGUUAUUAGGGAAGAACAAAUGUGUAAGUAACUAUGUACGUCUUGACGGUACCUAAUCAGAAAGCCACGGCUAACUACGUG
Molecule: ribosomal RNA, 497 nt
Filed under: uncultured bacterium
Lineage: Bacteria
Description: partial 16S ribosomal RNA
Rfam family: Bacterial small subunit ribosomal RNA
Source: RNAcentral